AGCUGCUGCAGGAGUGGUGGUGGUGACAGCUGCUGCAGGAGUGGUGGUGGUGACAGCUGCUGCAGGAGUGGUGGUGGUGACAGCUGCUGGAGGAGUGGUGGUGGUACCAGCUGCUGCAGGAGUGGUGGUGGUACCAGCUGCUGGAGGAGUGGUGGUGGUACCAGCUGCUGGAGGAGUGGUGGUGGUACCAGCUGCUGGAGGAGUGGUGGUGGUACCAGCUGCUGGAGGACUGGUGGUGGUGACAGCUGCUGGAGUGGUGGUGGUACCAGCUGCUGGAGGAGUGGUGGUGGUAACAGCUGCUGCAGGAGUGGUGGUGGUGACUGCUGCUACUGGAGUGGUGGUGGUGACAGCUGCUGCAGGAGUGGUGGUGGUGACAGCUGCUGCAGGAGUGGUGGUAGUGACAGCUGCUGGAGGAGUGGUGGUGGUGACAGCGGCUGCAGGGGUGGUGGUGGUGACAGCUGCUGCAGGGGUGGUGGUGGUGACAGCUGCUGCAGGGGCGGUAGUGGUGAGAGGUGCUGCAUGAGUGGUGGUGGUGAGAGGUGCUGCAGGGGCGGUGGUGGUGAGAGGUGCUGCAUGAGUGGUGGUGGUGACAGCUGCUGCAGGGAGGGUGGUGGUGACAGCUGCUGCAGGGGCGGUAGUGGUGAGAGGUGCUGCAGAAGUGGUGGUGAGAGGUGCUGCAGGGGCGGUAGUAGUGAGAGGUGCUGCAUGAGUGGUGGUGGUGACAGCUGCUGCAGGGGCGGUAGUGGUGAGAGGUGCUGCAGAAGUGGUGGUGAGAGGUGCUGCAGGGGCGGUAGUAGUGAGAGGUGCUGCAUGAGUGGUGGUGGUGACAGCUGCUGCAGGGGCGGUAGUGGUGAGAGGUGCUGCAGGGGCGGUGGUGGUGAGAGGUGCUGCAGGAGUGGUGGUGGUGACAGCUGCUGCAGGGGCGGUAGUGGUGAGAGGUGCUGCAGAAGUGGUGGUGACAGCUGCUGCAGGGGCGGUAGUGGUGAGAGGUGCUGCAUGAGUGGUGGUGGUGACAGCUGCUGCAGGGGCGGUAGUGGUGAGAGGUGCUGCAGGGGCGGUGGUGGUGAGAGGUGCUGCAUGAGUGGUGGUGGUGACAGCUGCUGCAGGGGCGGUGGUGGUGACAGCUGCUGCAGGGGCGGUGGUGGU
Oncorhynchus tshawytscha (Chinook salmon) is the source of this 1146-nucleotide long non-coding RNA. The record is from Ensembl. Lineage: Eukaryota; Metazoa; Chordata; Actinopteri; Salmoniformes; Salmonidae.